GUCGGCGUAGCUCAGGUGGUUAGAGCAUGGCACUCAUAAAGCCAAGGUCGGUGGUUCGACUCCACCCGUCGACACAA
Molecule: transfer RNA, 77 nt
Filed under: Candidatus Nomurabacteria bacterium RIFCSPHIGHO2_02_FULL_35_13
Lineage: Bacteria; Candidatus Nomuraibacteriota
Description: tRNA-Met
Rfam family: tRNA
About the family: Transfer RNA (tRNA) molecules are approximately 80 nucleotides in length. Their secondary structure includes four short double-helical elements and three loops (D, anti-codon, and T loops). Further hydrogen bonds mediate the characteristic L-shaped molecular structure. tRNAs have two regions of fundamental functional importance: the anti-codon, which is responsible for specific mRNA codon recognition, and the 3' end, to which the tRNAs corresponding amino acid is attached (by aminoacyl-tRNA synthetases). tRNAs cope with the degeneracy of the genetic code in two manners: having more than one tRNA (with a specific anti-codon) for a particular amino acid; and 'wobble' base-pairing, i.e. permitting non-standard base-pairing at the 3rd anti-codon position.
Source: RNAcentral